This 70-nucleotide transfer RNA is filed under the name Podarcis lilfordi (Lilford's wall lizard). RNAcentral describes it as "tRNA.Ile". The record is from RNAcentral. Lineage: Eukaryota; Metazoa; Chordata; Lepidosauria; Squamata; Lacertidae.
GGAUAGCUCAGAUGGUUAGAGUAUGGUGCUGAUAUUGCCAAGGCUGCAGGUUUGAUCCUUGUAAGGGACA